AUCAGCAUCCCUGAUUCAGAAGAAUCUAAGAAAACUUAGCACAGAAGCUACUUCUUAGUAUCUUGAAGCGGGUCUUGGCACCUGGUGCUUCCUCUCAGGAAUGCUCAUCCCCCAGGGAUUGCUUCACUGCAUUGGGAAAACCAUCUGCUCAGGGCACCACAAUCACAGCAGAGGGCUUUGGAAUAAAGAUAUCAUCCAUCACUGCGGUCUGAGUCUCUGCAGCCAGGAC
Long non-coding RNA from Canis lupus familiaris (dog), 229 nucleotides. RefSeq lists it as uncharacterized. Lineage: Eukaryota; Metazoa; Chordata; Mammalia; Carnivora; Canidae. The transcript is spliced from 3 exons. The record is from RefSeq and is a predicted model, not a curated record.